AGUGAACGCUGGCGGUAGGCCUAACACAUGCAAGUCGAACGGCAGCACAGUAAGAGCUUGCUCUUACGGGUGGCGAGUGGCGGACGGGUGAGGAAUACAUCGGAAUCUACUUUUUCGUGGGGGAUAACGUAGGGAAACUUACGCUAAUACCGCAUACGACCUACGGGUGAAAGCAGGGGAUCUUCGGACCUUGCGCGAUUGAAUGAGCCGCUGUCGGAUUAGCUAGUUGGCGGGGUAAUGGCCCACCAAGGAGACGAUCCGUAGCUGGUCGGAGCGGAUGAUCGGCCACAUUGGAACGUAGACACGGACCAGACGCCUACGGGAGGCACCAGUGGGGAAUAUGAGACAAUGGUCGCAAGCCUGAUCCAGCCAUACCGCGUGUGUGAAGAAGACCUUCGGGUUGGAAAGCCCUUUUGUUGGGAAAGAAAAGCAGCAGGUUAAUACCCCGCUGUUCUGACGGUACCCAAAGAAUAAGCACCGGCUAACUUCGUG
RNAcentral lists this ribosomal RNA (492 nucleotides) under uncultured bacterium. RNAcentral describes it as "partial 16S ribosomal RNA". It matches the Rfam family "Bacterial small subunit ribosomal RNA", at positions 29 to 507 of the family's 1533-position model. The record is from RNAcentral.